UAUUUAGAAGCAAGACAGCUACUAAGAAAAUCCCUGACUCAUAACACAUCAGAGCUACAGUCUGACGAGGAAGAGGAGGAGAUUAAAGGCAGGAGAAAACAUAAACCAAUUAAUUUUUUUUGGAGACACGGACAAUGACAGCGAGGAGGAAGUGUUACCAAAAAAGAGAGCAAAAGGUUCACAGAAACCACUCCAAUCUGAGAAAAACCCUUCACCUCCUGUCAUACCCCCUCCUCCAAGCAGCAGUACUGUACCUCCUCCUCCCCUGUCUCCCCUGCCGAUGCUAUGCACUACUCCAGAGCCUCCCUGUACAUGGGUUCCAAAUAGAAGUCAUUCAGCACCAAUACCCAAGCAGCCCCCUACUGCAAGCCUGUACAGACCUGUCUGGAAGGGGGGGAGGUUAGGAACAGACAGUAUUCCCUGCUCUGAUAUCCUCUCUAGCAUCUAUCGGGGGGCACGACACAAAACACGUAACAUGGAACAUCCUUUCACAUAUUUUUUCUGACAGUGUUGGCAAGAGGAUAAGUUGGAAAGGUGCAAAUGGGGAAAAAAACAUUCAGUCAGAUGGCAACAAAAAACCUUGCUACUGUGUAAGCAGUU
Molecule: long non-coding RNA, 600 nt
Organism: Colossoma macropomum (tambaqui)
Lineage: Eukaryota; Metazoa; Chordata; Actinopteri; Characiformes; Serrasalmidae
Exons: 4
Source: RefSeq, a predicted model, not a curated record